RNAcentral lists this ribosomal RNA (270 nucleotides) under uncultured bacterium. RNAcentral's name for it is "partial small subunit ribosomal RNA". It matches the Rfam family "Bacterial small subunit ribosomal RNA", at positions 26 to 287 of the family's 1533-position model. The record is from RNAcentral.
AGGACGAACGCUGGCGGCGCGCUUAAUACAUGCAAGUCGAGCGAGAACCAGGGCUUCGGCUCUGGGGACAGCGGCGAACGGGUGAGUAACACGUGGGUAAUCAACCCCCGACACCGGGAUAGCCCAGGGAAACUUGGAUUAAUACCGGAUGCUCCGUCUGGCCUUCGGGCCGGCCGGAAAAGGGUAGCUUCGGCCUCCGGUCGGGGACGAGCCCGCGGCGGAUUAGCUUGUUGGUGAGGUAAAAGGCUCACCAAGGCGACGAUCCGUAGC